CCCUUAGAUGUUCUGGGCCGCACGCGCGCUACACUGAUGCAUUCAACGAGUUUCUUCCUGGUCCGAGAGGAAUGGGUAACCUUUUGAAAGUGCAUCGUGAUAGGGAUAGACUAUUGCAAUUAUUGGUCUUCAACGAGGAAUUCCUAGUAGACGUAGUUCAUCAGACUGCAUCGAUUAUGUCCCUGCCCUUUGUACACACCGCCCGUCGCUCCUACCGAUUGAAUGCUCAGGUGAGCCAUUCGGACUUUCAUCAUGCUGGUUUCCAGUUUUGAUGAAGGAAAGUCUUGCGAACCUUAUCAUUUAGAGGAAGGAGAAGUCGUAACA
RNAcentral lists this ribosomal RNA (324 nucleotides) under uncultured eukaryote. RNAcentral's name for it is "partial 18S ribosomal RNA". It matches the Rfam family "Eukaryotic small subunit ribosomal RNA", at positions 1470 to 1796 of the family's 1831-position model. The record is from RNAcentral.